This 240-nucleotide unclassified non-coding RNA is filed under the name Hevea brasiliensis (rubber tree). Lineage: Eukaryota; Viridiplantae; Streptophyta; Magnoliopsida; Malpighiales; Euphorbiaceae. The record is from RNAcentral.
GAAUAAGACGAACGAGUUCACUCACCUCGAACUCUGAUAAACAAAUUGGGCAGUCUUCGAUCAAGUGCUUCGCGGCUCCACCGUAUGAAAUUAACGGUAGAGAUUGCACCGUUGAUGGAUCCAUCCCUUUCCGGCAAGACCUGUGCGCGAAGGUAGAAGACGACGAUAGGGAUAGAUUUCUCCGGCGUCGAUCCUCAUCGGAACCGGCGGAAGUUGUUAUAUCUCCGGCGAAGUGACGUA